GAUGAAGAACGUAGCGAAAUGCGAUAAGUAGUGUGAAUUGCAGAAUUCAGUGAAUCCUCGAAUCUUUGAACGCACAUUGCGCCCUUUGGUAUUCCAAAGGGCAUGCCUGUUCGAGCGUCAUUUGUACCCUCAAGCUUUGCUUGGUGUUGGGCGUCUUGUCUCUAGCUUUGCUGGAGACUCGCCUUAAAGUAAUUGGCAGCCGGCCUACUGGUUUCGGAGCGCAGCACAAGUCGCACUCUCUAUCAGCAAAGGUCUAGCAUCCAUUAAGCCUUUUUUUCAACUUUUGACCUCGGAUCAGGUAGGGAUACCCGCUGAACUUAAGCAUAUCAAUAAGCGGAGGA
RNAcentral lists this unclassified non-coding RNA (341 nucleotides) under soil metagenome. RNAcentral describes it as "partial contains 5.8S ribosomal RNA, internal transcribed spacer 2, and large subunit ribosomal RNA". The stretch from base 1 to 120 matches the Rfam family "5.8S ribosomal RNA", at positions 35 to 154 of the family's 154-position model. The record is from RNAcentral.